RNAcentral lists this ribosomal RNA (753 nucleotides) under Synoeca surinama. RNAcentral's name for it is "partial 12S ribosomal RNA". Lineage: Eukaryota; Metazoa; Arthropoda; Insecta; Hymenoptera; Vespidae. The record is from RNAcentral.
GACGGGCAAUUUUGUACUUAUUUUAUUAUAUUAUUUCAAAAUAAUUUAUUUAUUAAAUUUACUAUGGAAUCCACUUUUAAAAUAAAAUUAAAUUUAUUUAUUCAUUAUUAUUAUUAUAUAUUUAAUAAUUGUAACCCAUAUUAAUCUUAAAUAAAGAAUAUUAUGACUUGAAUUUAUUUAUAUAUAAAAAUUUAAAAACUUAUUUAUUAAUAAUCUAUUAACAGCAAUACAUAAACUUUUAAUUAAGUAUAUCUUAUUGUGGAUUAUCACAGGCUAUACUGGUUCCUCUAAAAUUCUAAAAUACCGCCAAAUCUAUGUUAAACUAGGGGAUGAUACCCUAUUAUUAUAAUUAAAUUUAAUUAAAUUAAUUAUAAAUUAUUAAAUGUUAAAUCAUUAAAUUUAAAAGAUUUGGCGGUAUUUUAGAAAGUUAGAGGAACCUGUAUAGUAAUUGAUAAUCCACAAUAAGAUAUACUUAAUUAAAAGUUUAUGUAUUGCUGUUUAAAGAUUAUUAAUAAAUAAGUUUUUAAAUUUUUAUAUAUAAAUAAAUUCAAGUCAAAAUAUAAUUUAGUUAAGAUUAAUAUGGGUUACNAAUUAUUUAAUAUAUAAUAAUAAUAAUGAAUAAAUAAAUUUAAUUUUAUUUUAAAAGUGGAUUUAAUAGUAAAUUUAAUAAAUAAAUUAUUUUGAAAUAAAAUAAUAAAAUAAGUACAAAUUGCCCGUCACUUUCAAUAAAAUGGAAUAAGUCGAAACAAAGUA